Molecule: ribosomal RNA, 425 nt
Filed under: uncultured bacterium
Lineage: Bacteria
Description: bacterial SSU rRNA
Rfam family: Bacterial small subunit ribosomal RNA
Source: RNAcentral
GCAUAACGCGAAGAACCUUACCUAGGCUUGACAUGCAUCUCUAAGCGCGUGAAAGCGCGUGACCCUUCGGGGAGUUGUCACAGGUGCUGCAUGGCCGUCGUCAGCUCGUGUCGUGAGAUGUUGGGUUAAGUCCGCAACGAGCGCAACCUUCGUGAACAGUUGCCAGCACUUAAGGUGGGAACUCUGUUCAGACUGCCCACGAUCAACUGGGAGGAAGGUGGGGACGACGUCAGGUCAGUAUGGCCCUUACGCCUAGGGCUGCACACGUACUACAAUGCCCAGCACAAUGAGAACCGAGACCGCGAGGUGGAGGAAAUCUAAAAACUAGGGCCCAGUUCGGAUUGGAGGCUGCAACUCGCCUCCAUGAAGUUGGAAUCGCUAGUAAUGGCGCAUCAGCUACGGCGCCGUGAAUACGUUCCCGGGUC